This is a long non-coding RNA of Lycium ferocissimum, 454 nucleotides long. RefSeq lists it as uncharacterized. The transcript has 4 exons. The record is from RefSeq and is a predicted model, not a curated record. Lineage: Eukaryota; Viridiplantae; Streptophyta; Magnoliopsida; Solanales; Solanaceae.
AUAUAGUCUGCAUACAUAUAUAUACACACAUUUAAUCCUCGAUUACCCAAAACCCCUUUAAAAGUUUGCCUCUUUUGUCCACCAAGAUUUAGUUUUUUCUCUCCAACCCUUUUGUUGGUUAAGAUGGUUUUGAUGAUAUAUUAUCGUGAAGCUGGUUUCUAGGCGUUUUGUCUAGUCCGUGUGCUUCCUCUUCAAUCACCAUUCUCCGGUAAAUGGGCUGCUAUUGUUCUAAGGUGAAAAAGCAGUUUCGUGGAUACGAAGAUCCUACAGUCCUUGCGUCACAAACAGCGUUUAGUGUUAGUGAAGUAGAAGCAUUGUUUGAGCUGUUCAAGAGUAUUAGCAGUUCGGUAAUUGACGAUGGGCUAAUAAGCAAGUUGAUCACUUAAAGAGGUAGGUUUUGGAGAAUAUUUCGGCUUGGUGACAAGAAAUUGAGAAGGCAUUUGUUAUUUACGGG